UAAAAUUUUUUGACACCUGUUAACUGUAAAAUAUAUUUUGAAUCAAAUACGUUCAGCAGUGCCAAAACAGUGAAAGCAACUGCUGCUCACAGUUUGUACUACCAUUUGAAUUGACUGACUACUGACUUCCUAGUGCUGACUAACUAACAUUCGAAACCUCUUGUAUAUAAAACAGCUCAUAAAAAUUGUAUAAAAGAGAUAGAUUUAGACCAUAAAAAAAGACUGUUCUUGAGGCGAAUAUGUUUAGCAAAGCCACUUGUGUUUCGAAUGAGAUAGUGCCAUACUAUGUACCCUCUUAGCAAUGAGUUAAUGUCGGCAAUUUACUACACUACAUUAUGGUGCACCAAGUUAUACUAUCAAGGACAAGAUCCAUUGAUUGAUAUAAUUUCCGAAUAUAUUCGCAGGUAUCGGAUUUAAGAAAGUUAUUAAAUCGAAUUUAU
Schizosaccharomyces pombe (fission yeast) is the source of this 440-nucleotide non-coding RNA. Lineage: Eukaryota; Fungi; Ascomycota; Schizosaccharomycetes; Schizosaccharomycetales; Schizosaccharomycetaceae. The record is from the annotation of a GenBank genome assembly.